UGAGGAAUAUUGGUCAAUGGACGAGAGUCUGAACCAGCCAAGUAGCGUGAAGGAUGACUGCCCUAUGGGUUGUAAACUUCUUUUAUAUGGGAAUAAAGUUUUCCACGUGUGGAAUUUUGUAUGUACCAUAUGAAUAAGGAUCGGCUAACUCCGUGCCAGCAGCCGCGGUAAUACGGAGGAUCCGAGCGUUAUCCGGAUUUAUUGGGUUUAAAGGGUGCGUAGGCGGCCCCUUAAGUCAGCGGUGAAAGUCUGUGGCUCAACCAUAGAAUUGCCGUUGAAACUGGGGGGCUUGAGUACAGUUGAGGUAGGCGGAAUUCGUGGUGUAGCGGUGAAAUGCUUAGAUAUCACGAAGAACUCCGAUUGCGAAGGCAGCUUACUAAACUGCCACUGACAUUGAUGCUCGAAAGUGUGGGUAUCAAACAGG
RNAcentral lists this ribosomal RNA (424 nucleotides) under uncultured bacterium. RNAcentral describes it as "bacterial SSU rRNA". It matches the Rfam family "Bacterial small subunit ribosomal RNA", at positions 355 to 776 of the family's 1533-position model. The record is from RNAcentral.